RNAcentral lists this transfer RNA (51 nucleotides) under Muntiacus sp. IND3. Its description in RNAcentral is "tRNA-Phe". Lineage: Eukaryota; Metazoa; Chordata; Mammalia; Artiodactyla; Cervidae. The record is from RNAcentral.
AUAAAGCAAGGCACUGAAAAUGCCUAGAUGAGUGUAUUAACUCCAUAAACA